RNAcentral lists this non-coding RNA (279 nucleotides) under Secundilactobacillus collinoides. RNAcentral describes it as "Lactobacillus collinoides T-box sequence". It matches the Rfam family "T-box leader". From Rfam's summary of the family: Uncharged tRNA acts as the effector for transcription antitermination of genes in the T-box leader family. Lineage: Bacteria; Bacillati; Bacillota; Bacilli; Lactobacillales; Lactobacillaceae. The record is from RNAcentral.
GAGAAACUAACGAGAAGAUGAGUAGGACAGUCACCAUCCUGAGAGAGUUGCCGUUUGGUGCAAGGCAACGUUGGGAGCUGUUCGAAGAUGGUCUUUUAAAUCGUUUCAGCGCUGAGCUAAGGCUAGGUGCUGGCGGGGACGCUCGUUACAGCGUUAGGGUAUGCACAAUAGUAAGUACUGAUCAUAAAACCAGGCUUAGUUUUGGCGUACCCGCGAGGAAUGGCUCGUGAGGGUCGUUUAAACUAAGGUGGUAACGCGAAUGGCAUUUUCGUCCUUGUC